Molecule: non-coding RNA, 20 nt
Filed under: Mus musculus (house mouse)
Lineage: Eukaryota; Metazoa; Chordata; Mammalia; Rodentia; Muridae
Source: RNAcentral
AUAAAGGCGAGCCUAUCAGA